This 732-nucleotide ribosomal RNA is filed under the name Fusarium tricinctum. RNAcentral describes it as "SSU rRNA". It matches the Rfam family "Bacterial small subunit ribosomal RNA", at positions 342 to 968 of the family's 1533-position model. Lineage: Eukaryota; Fungi; Ascomycota; Sordariomycetes; Hypocreales; Nectriaceae. The record is from RNAcentral.
UCUCAGCCCAGGUAGAAGAAUAUUGGUCAAUGGCCUAACGGCUGAACUGGCAACUUGGAGAAGUGGCAAGUCUUCCAGUAUGGGGAGCAAACAGCUAUGGGUCAAGCCCGACAUCUUUAGGAGAAGUCUUAUUGUGAGGGCGAGUUGUAAAACACCAUAGGGCUGGCCGUCCCAUAUGAAAAGAUUUUAUUAGAAUUGAAUGAAACUUUGUUUAUAUAUUGAUAAUGACAGUAUAUAUAUCGUGUCUUGACUAAUUGCGUGCCAGCAGUCGCGGUAAUACGUAAGAGACUAGUGUUAUUCAUCUUAAUUAGGUUUAAAGGGUACCCAGACGGUCAAUAUAGCUUAUAAAAUGUUAGUACUUGACUAGAGUUUUAUGUAAGAGGGCAGUACUUGAGGAGGAGAGAUGAAAUUUCGUGAUACCAAAGGGACUCUGUAAAGGCGAAGGCAGCCCUCUAUGUAAAAACUGACGUUGAAGGACGAAGGCACAGAGAACAAACAGGAUUAGAUACCCAAGUAGUCUUUGCAGUAAAUGAUGAAUGCCAUAGGUUAGAUUAAUAGUUAAUGUAUAUAGGCUAGUAUAAUAGACUAUACAUUAAAAAUUAUUUGGUCUAUAAAUGAAAGUGUAAGCAUUUCACCUCAAGAGUAAUGUGGCAACGCAGGAACUGAAAUCACUAGACCGUUUCUGACACCAGUAGUGAAGUAUGUUAUAAUAAUUCGAUUGAAAUCGCGCAA